UACGGAGGGUGCAAGCGUUGUCCGGAAUCACUGGGCGUAAAGGGCGCGUAGGCGGCUCAUGAAGGCUGUGGUGAAAGUCCGGGGCUCAACCUCGGAUCGGCCGUGGCGACUCGUGGGCUGGAGCACUGUAGAGGCGGGUGGAAUUCCGGGUGUAGCGGUGGAAUGCGUAGAGAUCCGGAAGAACACCAGUGGCGAAGGCGGCCCGCUGGGCAGUGGCUGACGCUGAGGCGCGACAGCGUGGGGAGCAAACAGGAUUAUGAAACCC
Molecule: ribosomal RNA, 265 nt
Filed under: uncultured bacterium
Lineage: Bacteria
Description: partial 16S ribosomal RNA
Rfam family: Bacterial small subunit ribosomal RNA
Source: RNAcentral